UAAUAUUAUAUACUCUCUCUCUCUCUCUCUCUCUCUCUCUCUCACUCUCACUGUGUGUGUGUGUGUGUGUGAGAGAGAGAGAGAGAGAGAGAGAGAGAGAUUCUAACUCCU
RNAcentral lists this microRNA precursor (111 nucleotides) under Podarcis lilfordi (Lilford's wall lizard). Lineage: Eukaryota; Metazoa; Chordata; Lepidosauria; Squamata; Lacertidae. The record is from RNAcentral.